Molecule: small nuclear RNA, 104 nt
Organism: Perognathus longimembris pacificus (Pacific pocket mouse)
Lineage: Eukaryota; Metazoa; Chordata; Mammalia; Rodentia; Heteromyidae
Source: RefSeq, a predicted model, not a curated record
UUGCUAUAGCAGCACAUAUACUAAAAUUGAAAUGACACACACAGAAGUUUAGCAUGUCUCUGUGUAAGGAUGACACACAAAUUCGUGAAACAUUGGUGUUGAUC